CCUACGGGUGGCAGCAGUGGGGAAUAUUGGGCAAUGGGCGCAAGCCUGACCCAGCAACGCCGCGUGAAGGAAGAAGGCUCUCGGGUUGGAAACCUGCUUUAUCAGGGACGAAGCAAGUGACGGUACCUGAUGAAUAAGCCUCGGCUAACUACGUGCCAGCAGCCGCGGUAAUACGUAGGUCGCAAGCGUUAUCCGGAUUCACUGGGUGUAAAGGGAGUGUAGGCGGGAAGGCAAGUCAGAUGUGAAAACCAUGGGCUCAACCUGUGGCCUGCAUUAGAAACUGGUUUUCUUGAGUACUGGGAAGGCAGACGGAAUUCGUAGUGUAGCGGUGAAAUGCGUAGAUAUUAGGAAGAACACCAGUGGCGAAGGCAGUAUGCUGCACAGCUACUGACGCUGAGGCGCGAAGGCGUGGGGAGCGAACAGGAUUAGAUACCCUUGUAGUC
RNAcentral lists this ribosomal RNA (443 nucleotides) under uncultured bacterium. RNAcentral's name for it is "partial 16S ribosomal RNA". It matches the Rfam family "Bacterial small subunit ribosomal RNA", at positions 338 to 795 of the family's 1533-position model. The record is from RNAcentral.